GGACCCAGACUAUGCUGCUUUUGGGGAGGAAAUGGCACGCCUCCACGUCCCCAGGCUUGGCAUGCUGCUCCUGCAAGAACGGGUGUUUUGGGCUCCACUGCGUCAUGUCCAGGUGGCACACGGACACCACCUCCAUAGUCGCUGGUUCCGCACUGCCACUGACCUCGCUGACCAGCACCACCAUGUAGGCCCUGGUGGCCGGGCCAGCCAUGUGGCAGUAGAAUACUACGUACGGCACCCACCGUAUCUCAUCGGCGAUGGCGAGGGAGACUGGCACGAACAUGUUGAGAAUGUUACCAAGUCGAUCGAUGGAGAACGGUUAACCAUGGCUAGGAUUAGACUUUUAUUGGGCAAGAGUAAAAUUGAUGCCCCCAUGGCCACCGCCGACUCAAUAAGGUAUUGGGCUGAGUGGAAACCUUGGCCUCCACCUCAAGAAAUUGGCACUACACAUAUUCGAGUGAAUCAAUGGGCAAGUGCAAAAUUAUGGACCUUCCUCACUUGGACAUCCCCUGUUGCAGAGAAAUGGGCAGCUGAACUGAAAGAAAAAGGCAUAAGAUUGGAAGAUGUUGAAUUUGAUUGGAAAACUCUUGAUCCAGAUGUGCAAGAGGUCGAUUACAUUACAUGGGUUUGCAGUUAGGAUUCUUUGU
Molecule: long non-coding RNA, 647 nt
Filed under: Oryza sativa Indica Group (long-grained rice)
Lineage: Eukaryota; Viridiplantae; Streptophyta; Magnoliopsida; Poales; Poaceae
Description: lncRNA OsMH63_06G012380
Source: RNAcentral